Juglans microcarpa x Juglans regia is the source of this 604-nucleotide long non-coding RNA. RefSeq lists it as uncharacterized. The record is from RefSeq and is a predicted model, not a curated record. Lineage: Eukaryota; Viridiplantae; Streptophyta; Magnoliopsida; Fagales; Juglandaceae. The transcript is spliced from 2 exons.
GUUUUUUAUUUUGCUUUCCUGAAAUCCAUUUUUGCUUUUCCAAUACAUUCUUUUUAAAAGUAUUUCAUAGACUUUGAUGGAGACAUUGGAUACCAACUUGGUUUGCUUUUGGUCUGGUAUGUUUGUUUAAAUGUUUAAACAUAGGUAUCAAGAUCCUUAGAGGAUCCUAAAGAGAAGUCUUCAGAGACUUGCAGAAAAACCUUAGAUGAUGAAUCGGCAUUGGGUGACAUUCCGGGAUCAUAUUGAUGCUGUGUGACUCCAUGGAGAUUUCGCAAAGUCAUGGAGAUGUGUUGUGAAACAAGUUGGUUGUGUUGUGAAAACAGUUGGUGAAGACAUGCUGAAGUCAUGGAGAUCAUUCCACCUUAUAUGUAACCAAUCACUUUUCGGCUACUAUAUGUUGUGUUGGAGAUGGUUCAACCUUAUAUAUUGUGGAGAUGCACUUCGUGUUGCUUGUGUAGAUUGUAGGCUAGGGGUUUUGUGUGCAAACACUUGUUGUAGGUUAGCCAUUUUUUUGUGUCGAUGUUGUAACCUUUUGUACUGUUAUGUGGAGGGCUGGUGCAGCUAAUUAUAUGUAAUUGUUAUUAUAUGAGCAGGUUGUUAUGCA